Molecule: long non-coding RNA, 416 nt
Filed under: Astyanax mexicanus (Mexican tetra)
Lineage: Eukaryota; Metazoa; Chordata; Actinopteri; Characiformes; Acestrorhamphidae
Description: lncRNA (ENSAMXG00005022053.1)
Source: RNAcentral
UUUGCUCGGCGCUCGCUCGUCCUCUGCUCCACUAUAAGGGGAAUCUCUGGGAGAAGCUGAACAGGAGACUGGAGCUCUGCCACCAGUGCACAGGUUCGGCAUCGAACGGCUGAAGAUCUGUCAGAAUAUCCUGAGAUCUGAGGAACUGUUUCUGCUGGUGCGGACUGCUGGGAAUUCUGGGAGUGUUUGAAAUCAGAACUCUGGGGUGUGUGUGAAGUGGUCACUUCCUUGCCUGGUGUGGGACACUUAGAAGUGACCUCUGGGUUCUAAAGAUAAGACGAAGAGGAAACUGAGGAGUAGGACUGAAGGUGGAGAUACAGAGUCUGAGAGUCCAAGAGCAGGUGUGUUAGGAUGGUUCUCGUUAACUCUUAAAAAAAACAUCAGAAAAUCAUCACAUCACCAAACUACGCUGUGGU